This 1672-nucleotide ribosomal RNA is filed under the name marine metagenome. Its description in RNAcentral is "bacterial LSU rRNA". It matches the Rfam family "Bacterial large subunit ribosomal RNA", at positions 365 to 2118 of the family's 2925-position model. The record is from RNAcentral.
UGAUAGCCCCGUAUUUGAAAAUUAACUAUCUCGUUUGAUUAUACUCCCAAGUAGGGCGGAACACGAGAAAUUCUGUCCGAAUCUGUCAGGACCACCUGAUAAGACUAAAUACUCUCAUAUGACCGAUAGUGAAGAGUACCGUGAGGGAAAGGUGAAAAGUACCCCGAGAGGGGAGUGAAAUAGAACCUGAAACCGUGUGCCUACAAGCGGUCGGAGUCUCUUCUGAGAUGACGGCGUGCCUUUUGCAUAAUGAGCCAGCAAGUUACUCAUACGUUGCAAGGUUAAGUUUAAAUUACGGAGCCGUAGGGAAACCAAGUCUGAAUAGGGCGAUUAAGUAACGUGUGGUAGACGCGAAACCAGGUGAUCUUACCAUGGGCAGGUUGAAGCCUCAGUAAAAUGAGGUGGAGGACCGAACCGACUUGGGUUGAAAACCGAGCGGAUGACCUGUGGUAAGGGGUGAAAGGCUAAUCAAACCUGGUGAUAGCUCGUUCUCCUCGAAAUAUUUUUAGGAAUAGCGUUGUAUUAUAGUAUCAUGGAGGUAGAGCACUGAUUGGGCUAGGGCGCAAUACCCGCGUACCAAACCCAUUUAAACUCCGAAUGCCAUAGAUAUGUUCUACAGCAGUCAGGCAGUGUGAGAUAAGUUUCAUUGCCAAGAGGGAAACAACCCAGACCAACAGCUAAGGCCCCAAAAUUCAUACUCAGUGACAAAGGAUGUGAAUUAGCUAAGACAGCUAGGAGGUUGGCUUAGAAGCAGCCAUCCUUUAAAGAAAGCGUAAUAGCUCACUAGUCAAGGUAAUUUGCGCCGAUAAUAACCGGGACUUAAGUAUGAUGCCGAAGCUUUGGUUCUUACGCUUGCGUAAGAAGGUAGAGGAGCGUUCCAUUAACCUGCGAAGGUUGCUCGUGAGAGUAGCUGGAGGAGAUGGAAAUGAGGAUGCUGGCAUGAGUACGCGAGAAAACACGUGAAAUUCGUGUUCACCAUAAGCCUAAGGUUUCCUGAUCAACGCAAAUCGGAUCAGGGUUAGUCGGCCCCUAAGACGAGGCCGAAAGGCGUAGUCGAUGGGAAUCAGGCAAAUUUUAAUAUUCCUGAACCACCGAAACUUAACCCGGGAGCACCAUUGCCCAGAUGUGUUGACCUUAUUGAUUUGGUUAACAUAAGCAAGCAGUGGCAAGAAAAAACCCGGUGUAUGCUAAGGUGACCGUACCGUAAACCGACACAGGUAGGCGAGGAGAGUAUCCUAAGGUGCUUGAGAGAACAAUGGUCAAGGAACUCGGCAAAUUGACUCCGUAACUUCGGGAGAAGGAGUUCCCGAUCUUUGAUUGGGACGCAGUGAAAAGGGGGGAGCGACUGUUUACUAAAAACACAGGUCCAUGCUAACACGUAAGUGGACAUAUAUGGACUGACACCUGCCCGGUGCCGGAAGGUUAAGAGGAUUUGUUAUUCUGACUUGUCAGAAGAAGCUCAGAAUUGAAGCCCCGGUAAACGGCGGCCGUAACUAUAACGGUCCUAAGGUAGCGAAAUUCCUUGUCGGGUAAGUUCCGACCUGCACGAAUGGUGCAACGACUUCCCCACUGUCUCGACCAUUGACUCAGCGAAAUUGUAGUAUCGGUGAAGAUGCCGGUUACUUAUAGAAGGACGGAAAGACCCCGUGAACCUUUACUAUAGCUUGAUAUU